RNAcentral lists this ribosomal RNA (462 nucleotides) under Neogloboquadrina dutertrei. Its description in RNAcentral is "bacterial SSU rRNA". It matches the Rfam family "Eukaryotic small subunit ribosomal RNA", at positions 1185 to 1464 of the family's 1831-position model. Lineage: Eukaryota; Foraminifera; Rotaliida; Globorotaliidae. The record is from RNAcentral.
GUGGCUUAAUUUGACUCAACGCGGGAAAUCUUACCGGGUCCGGACACACUGAGGAUUGACAGGCAAUAUCUAAAUCGUUUAUAAUAUUCUAUUAUAAUACGCUUUUAGUGUUAAAUAUGCUAGUCCUUUCAUGAUUAUGUGAUAGGUGGUGCAUGGCCGUUCUUAGUUCGUGGAGUGAUCUGUCUGCUUAAUUGCGUUUCACUAAGGGCCCAUAAAUUCAAGGUAUGUUAGCUAUCGUUUCUCAAUUGACCCCUUAUCUUCGAUAAGCGCGUGUCUUUUAGAGUUUAAACAUUGCGCAUGCUGUUGGGUCCUGAAAGCAACGAACGUGACCGCAACGUCUUAUUGCCUUUAUCUUGUUAUAUUCUAAUUUAAUUAGAAAUAACUAACAGAGGCUAAUUUAAAAUUAGACGGACCGCUGUACUUUUCUUAAACCAGAGGAAGGUUGCGGCAAUAACAGGUCUG